This 429-nucleotide ribosomal RNA is filed under the name bacterium. RNAcentral's name for it is "partial 16S ribosomal RNA". It matches the Rfam family "Bacterial small subunit ribosomal RNA", at positions 355 to 776 of the family's 1533-position model. The record is from RNAcentral.
UGGGGAAUCUUCCGCAAUGGACGAAAGUCUGACGGAGCAACGCCGCGUGAGUGAUGACGGCCUUCGGGUUGUAAAGCUCUGUUAAUCGGGACGAAUGGUUCUUGUGCAAAUAGUGCGAGGAUUUGACGGUCCCGGAAUAGAAAGCCACGGCUAACUACGUGCCAGCAGCCGCGGUAAUACGUAGGUGGCAAGCGUUGUCCGGAAGUAUUGGGCGGAAAGCGCGCGCAGGCGGAUUGGUCAGUCUGUCUUAAAAGUUCGGGGCUUAACCCCGUGAUGGGAUGGAAACUGCCAAUCUGGAGUAUCGGGGAGGAAAGUGGAAUUCCUAGUGUAGCGGUGAAAUGCGUAGAUAUUAGGAAGAACACCAGUGGCGAAGGCGACUUUCUGGACGAAAACUGACGCUGAGGCGCGAAAGCCAGGGGGGCGAACGGG